GGGCACACGAGGCCUCCACUGCGGUUGCGCAGCCUGCCGAAGAGCGUGCGGCUUCUACUGCGGCUGCGCAAGCUCGACGCGCGCACUCUUGUCUGCUUACGAGGGCUCCUCCCUUCAGCUUUGGUCCCUCGGGGCGUCUGGGCAGCCUACGCUUUCCGACUGGAAUCAGCCAUUUUACCAAGAAAGUUGGGUUUCUUUUACUGGCAAAUAGUACUUCAAGAGCACAGUCUUAUGUAAGCAUGACCCAUCUGCCUGGCACCAGCACCUGGGGCUGCCAGGCAGCCACCCCUGCAGCUGUGUUGACAGGACCUGGCAGAGGGACUGACCCACCUUUGGAAAAUGACACCAGCAAUAUCAGGAUGUGUCAACUGGAUUUAUGCUAAGAAAAUAGGAUUUUUGGUGUUCCUCUGUUUCCCAAAGUUUGAGACACUUUCAGACACUCUGCUUUGCGGUUGUGGCCGAUGUUACCCAUGGGUGGGACUUUUGCUUUGCUCUAGAUUUUUGUAACACCCUGGGGAGUUUCAGGGGCCAAUGCUGAGAGAAGACCACAGGCUGACACAUCAUGAGGUGCCUAACUUACUGAGAAUCAUGCCUGCUGUGAUGAGCCCUUGGAAACCAUCAGGACUGGAUGGUAGGGGUCCUGAGAGGAUUGGGGGAGGAGGCCUUGAUAUGACAGAGUGGACAGAGGCCGUGGAACCCAGGACAGCCAGCCUGCUCCACAAUCCUCAUCCCCACAGACCUUCAUGUGUGGCUCCUAAAUAAGAGGAAACCCACUCCUGAUAAGUCAGGGGCUUUGAAAAGUGAUUUUGUUUAAAUGGUGCAAACAAGCAAGCCAAUCUUGGGGAGACAGGGCUAAACUUAAGUCCUUUAAGAAGCUCUACAUACUGACAAGAUUCUAGUUCCCUUCCACCUUAUAUGCUGCAAAGUAAAAAGUAUCACUGAAUGAGAAAAUCAGCAUAAAGAAGCCCAAUAAUGUCUGCCUGAGUUUCCCCUAUGAUGACUUUUGGUACUUUUUGGGAAACAUUAAGUAUGAAGUUAUUUCAAAAUAAUUUUUUGGUGCCUCUGCUUGGUGAUGCCUUAAACUCUGGGUAAGAGAAACACCAGGUGCCUGUCAGGAGAUGGCCUUUUCCAGGUUUCUGGUUAAGCUACAAACAGCUAACUGGCUGCUGUCAUCAAAAUAAAAGCUUUCUGAAGGUGGAGGCAUCUGAUACCCAGAGUGCUGCUAUCAGCCGGCACGGUGGGCCGCUGGGUGGCAGGAGCGUCGAGAAGGCCAGCUCGCUUCCUAUCUGGGAUUCAGAAUCAGCUAUGGAAACUUGAGAGACCUAGAGAAAAUAACUUCUUUCACUUUGAACUGAUUCUUUGCUUCAUAAGAAAAGUAUUAUCCAGCCACAAAAAUGGUCAAAAUUCAGAUCUACAAAAGCCUGUCAGGCAGAAACUGACCCCACUUAGGCCACGCCAAUGAGCAAGUCAUCAAAGCAGCCAAGACAGGUCCUGUGGGGGCCACCCAUGCACAGGGCCCAGCCUCGGGUCCUAACCCCGCCUAUGCUUUCCGCCACCAUAAAGAGGCCCAUCUGGGUAAGACCUGUCCCGCCUGCUGUGGGGUAUUAGGGCAGAUGGGGUCUGAGGGGUCUGAGGGCUCUGAGAGCAGCUGGCAGCUCAAGGACAUCCGGAGUUGGAGGAUGGAGCAAUGCAGGCCCUUGUGGUAAAGACAGUCCUGCAGCCGCGCAGGCAGGGAUGCUGCAAGUGGAGUGCCAGGCGGGUGCGGAGCCCUGUGGGACUGUGGAGGGGUCAGAGGGAAGCCAGGAUUUUGGGGUCUCUGAGAGUUUGGAGAAGGGGAAGAAGAUUAAAGCUUGUUUCAAAAGUUUCUAAUCAGGUGGGCAGGGCCAAGGGUGGCUGUGGGGUGAGACCCAUGACUCAGGGUGGCCCACUGUUACUCUAUUGAUUUUUGGGCGUUUUUUUCCAAAUUGAUUAUUCUUGCUGAAUGAGACCUGAGUCCUUGACUGUCCCCUUAAAGCCACCUGACUUGUUUUCAGUUCCACUGGCCUGUCGGGCUGUUUUCUACUCAACUCCACUCUUGCUUGUCUGCCCUCCCUGCCUGGGGCCCAGCCAGCAGUCAGCUCAAGGGCCAGAUGAAUUGGGUGGCUGUGCUCUGCCCACUGGGCAUCGUGUGGAUGGUGGGUGACCAGCCCCCUCAGGUGCUCAGCCAGGCCUCAAGCCUUGCUGUGUACCUCAGAGCAGCUCCGUACCCUGAUGUCACAGCAAAGAAACUUAGACAUGACACAAACUGUGGCUUCCCAAGGCAGCAAAGAAUGGCCAGGGGUCAUGAGGGCCGUGCCCCACUUUUGGACAGACCUACUCUAAAGUCACGCUACCUGCGUGCAAAUCAUAAAAUCAACACUUUUGAGGAGAUCACAGCUAUGCCUUCGUAACACAGCCCAGUCCGACCAGAUAGACGGUGCCUCGUGACCCGAAAACAAGCCCCCGGCCCCCCACCAUGUGUGUGAGCCUUACCUUGGACUGCACGCUGAGGGAGCGGAUGGAAGGGACAGCAAGGAGGCCGAAGCGCUCGUAGAGGUACUCAUUGGAGGAGCUUCCCUUCAGGAGGGCGAAAGGAAUGAGGUAGAGCUCCCCCUCCAGAACCAGGAUGAGCUGCCGGUGCCGGCCCACGGGGCCGCUGGAGUGCAUCAGGCCCUAUGGAGCAAGCACGGAGAGGCUGACAUGGGUGGCCCAGCAGGCAGGGGUUUCAGGCACCAGGACAACCCUGAGCCCUAGCCUGGAUGACACAAGCACGAGCAGGUGAGGCCUGUGGGGGUGUGGGGCGCCAUGGGGCAUGGGCCGAGUUGCAGCCCUGCAGGAGCGGCACCAACUGGCAUGCUCGCUUGUGGACUGGCAAGGGCUGGCCUGGCAGCAUCCAUCUGCCUCACAGUCCUGAGAAGGUUAGAGGACAGUUUCUUGAAGUUCACAAGAACCUGAAGUGGGUUGGAGACCGGUCUGUACCGCACAGGCACCCUGAGAAGGGGUGGGAAUGGCCCCUCUCAAAACAAGAUCUGUUUUCCAUUUCAAUGGACAAGAGGCUAGAAAAUCACAGUGAGGACGGGAGGUCUGGGGGCUGGCAUGACAGCCCCUGUAGAAGGGGAUGGGCUGGGUUCUAGGAUCUUCCGUGACCUCCUCUGAGAAAGAGUGGCCCCUUGGCUCUGGGCUUGGGAGGUGCCGUCCCCACUUGUUCCCUCUGGGGAUGUCAGGGGACCCAAUGCAUGGAUGACUCCCAUCCCUCUUGAAAGGCCGAGCAUGAGGACUCGAGGCAGGGUGUGCACAGGGCCACAGCGGACACAGCCUCAUUCCUGUUCAUUGCAGAACAAGGCUAAGGGCGCGGGCAUCUUAAUGAGAGCAGCAGGCAACAAUCCUGGAAGCUGGGUCCACACAGACUGCGGUGAACAAAGAGGUGGCGUGGAAGCUGCUGCUGCAGCCCAGAGCCUGCCAAGAAGGUCCCAGGUCCACAGGGCCUGCGCAACACUGGGUGCCAGGGGUGGGGCUGGCCUGCCCCCCAACCCCAUCUGCUGAGGAGUGGCUGACAAGCGGACACCCACCAGGGUGCCACUCGCUUGUGCCUGGGGAAGCAAAUGUGCUCGCUUGACCCGUCUGAUGUGCUGCCGUGGGCACUUGACUGAGAGUGGCAGAGCACUAGGCUAACCCAAAGUGACACAUGCCUGGCGGGAUGUUCAGUCUCUGUAAA
This is a long non-coding RNA of Homo sapiens (human), 3733 nucleotides long. Ensembl annotates it as TTC28 antisense RNA 1. Its record names the gene TTC28-AS1. The record is from Ensembl. NCBI's taxonomy places the organism in Eukaryota, Metazoa, Chordata, Mammalia, Primates, Hominidae.